AGACCCGAAACCCGGUGAUCUAGCCAUGGGCAGGUUGAAGGUUGGGUAACACUAACUGGAGGACCGAACCGACUAAUGUUGAAAAAUUAGCGGAUGACCUGUGGCUGGGGGUGAAAGGCCAAUCAAACCGGGAGAUAGCUGGUUCUCCCCGAAAGCUAUUUAGGUAGCGCCUCGUGAAUUCAUCUCCGGGGGUAGAGCACUGUUUCGGCUAGGGGGCCAUCCCGGCUUACCAACCCGAUGCAAACUGCGAAUACCGGAGAAUGUUAUCACGGGAGACACACGGCGGGUGCUAACGUCCGUCGUGAAGAGGGAAACAACCCAGACCGCCAGCUAAGGUCCCAAAGUCAUGGUUAAGUGGGAAACGAUGUGGGAAGGCCCAGACAGCCAGGAUGUUGGCUUAGAAGCAGCCAUCAUUUAAAGAAAGCGUAAUAGCUCACUGGUCGAGUCGGCCUGCGCGGAAGAUGUAACGGGGCUAAACCAUGCACCGAAGCUGCGGCAGCGACACUCAGGUGUUGUUGGGUAGGGGAGCGUUCUGUAAGCCUGCGAAGGUGGCCUGUGAGGGUUGCUGGAGGUAUCAGAAGUGCGAAUGCUGACAUAAGUAACGAUAAAGCGGGUGAAAAGCCCGCUCGCCGGAAGACCAAGGGUUCCUGUCCAACGUUAAUCGGGGCAGGGUGAGUCGACCCCUAAGGCGAGGCCGAAAGGCGUAGUCGAUGGGAAACGGGUUAAUAUUCCCGUACUUGGUGUUACUGCGAAGGGGGGACGGAGAAGGCUAUGUUGGCCGGGCGACGGUUGUCCCGGUUUAAGCGUGUAGGUGUGUGUUC
Molecule: ribosomal RNA, 821 nt
Filed under: Salmonella enterica
Lineage: Bacteria; Pseudomonadati; Pseudomonadota; Gammaproteobacteria; Enterobacterales; Enterobacteriaceae
Also listed under: 2 other names
Description: partial 23S ribosomal RNA
Rfam family: Bacterial large subunit ribosomal RNA
Source: RNAcentral